This 840-nucleotide ribosomal RNA is filed under the name Mitopus glacialis. RNAcentral's name for it is "SSU rRNA". It matches the Rfam family "Eukaryotic small subunit ribosomal RNA", at positions 21 to 863 of the family's 1831-position model. The record is from RNAcentral. Lineage: Eukaryota; Metazoa; Arthropoda; Arachnida; Opiliones; Phalangiidae.
AGUCAUAUGCUUGUCUCAAAGACUAAGCCAUGCAUGUCUAAGUACAUGCCGAAAUAAGGUGAAACCGCGAAUGGCUCAUUAAAUCAGUUAUGGUUUCUUAGAUCGUACUUUUUUACUUGGAUAACUGUGGUAAUUCUAGAGCUAAUACAUGCAGCAGAGCUCCGACCUUCGGGAACGAGCGCUUUUAUUAGACCAAGACCAAUCGGGCUUCGGCCCGCUUACCAUGGCGACUCUGGAUAACUUUGGGCAAAUCGCACGAUCUCGUAUCGGCGAUGUUUCUUUCAAGUGUCUGCCUUAUCAACUUUCGAUGGUAGGCUACGCGCCUACCAUGGUCGUAACGGGUAACGGGGAAUCAGGGUUCGAUUCCGGAGAGGGAGCCUGAGAAACGGCUACCACAUCCAAGGAAGGCAGCAGGCGCGCAAAUUACCCACUCCCGGCACGGGGAGGUAGUGACGAAAAAUAACAAUACGGGACUCUUUUGAGGCCCCGUAAUUGGAAUGAGUACACUCUAAAUCCUUUAACGAGGAUCCAUUGGAGGGCAAGUCUGGUGCCAGCAGCCGCGGUAAUUCCAGCUCCAAUAGCGUAUAUUAAAGUUGUUGCGGUUAAAAAGCUCGUAGUUGAAUCUCAGUUCCAGACAGGCGGUCCGCUCCGGUGGUUACUGCCUGGCCUGAACAUCCUGCCGGUUUUCCUUCGGUACUCUUGAUUGAGCGUCGUAGGUGCCCGGCACGUUUACUUUGAAAAAAUUGGAGUGCUCAAAGCAGGCGUCCCGCCUGAAUAAUGGUGCAUGGAAUAAUGAAAGAGGACUUCGAGUUCUAUUGUGUUGGUUUUCGGAACACGAGG